GAGGGUGUAGCUCAGUGGGUAGAGUACGUGCUUAACAUGCAGGAGUUCCUGGGUUCAAUACCCAGUGCCUCCA
Molecule: transfer RNA, 73 nt
Filed under: Camelus bactrianus (Bactrian camel)
Lineage: Eukaryota; Metazoa; Chordata; Mammalia; Artiodactyla; Camelidae
Also listed under: 2 other names
Rfam family: tRNA
About the family: Transfer RNA (tRNA) molecules are approximately 80 nucleotides in length. Their secondary structure includes four short double-helical elements and three loops (D, anti-codon, and T loops).
Source: Rfam by way of RNAcentral